RNAcentral lists this ribosomal RNA (460 nucleotides) under uncultured bacterium. RNAcentral describes it as "bacterial SSU rRNA". It matches the Rfam family "Bacterial small subunit ribosomal RNA", at positions 30 to 483 of the family's 1533-position model. The record is from RNAcentral.
AUUGAACGCUGGCGGCAUGCCUUACACAUGCAAGUCGAACGGCAGCACGGGAGCAAUCCUGGUGGCGAGUGGCGAACGGGUGAGUAAUAUAUCGGAACGUGCCCAGUCGUGGGGAUAACGUAGCGAAAGCUACGCUAAUACCGCAUACGAUCUAUGGAUGAAAGCGGGGGAUCGCAAGACCUCGCGCGAUUGGAGCGGCCGAUAUCAGAUUAGGUAGUUGGUGAGGUAAAGGCUCGCCAAGCCGACGAUCUGUAGCUGGUCUGAGAGGACGACCAGCCACACUGGGACUGAGACACGGCCCAGACUCCUACGGGAGGCAGCAGUGGGGAAUUUUGGACAAUGGGCGCAAGCCUGAUCCAGCAAUGCCGCGUGCAGGAUGAAGGCCUUCGGUUGUAACUAGCUUUUGUACGGUAACGAAACGGUUUACUAUUAAUACUAGGUAGCUCAUGACGGUACGUAA